GAGCUUAUGGUGGAUACCUAGGUACCCAAAAGCGAUGAAGGGCGCGAGAAUCAGCGAAAUGCUUCGGGGAGCUGACUAUAAGCUAAUCCGGAGGUUCCCGAAUAAGGCAACUUCUUGUACUAUUUGCUGAAUAUAUAGGCAAAGUUAGAGCGAACUUGGUGAAUUGAAACAUCUUAGUAACCAAAGGAAAAGAAAGCAAAAGCGAUUCUCUUAGUAGCGGCGAGCGAACCGGGAUCAGCCUAAACUACCCUUUAUGGGUAGGGUUGUGGGACGUCUAUAAAUUUAGUUUAAUUAAAUUAGAUGAAGCAAGUGAAUAUUGCACCAUAGAAGAUGAAAGUUCUGUAGUCGAAAAUUUAUUAACUAACAGAUUGUAUCCCAAGUAGCAUGGGACACGUGAAAUCCCGUGUGAAUCUGCGAGGACCACCUCGUAAGGCUAAAUAUUAAUGGGUAACCGAUAGUGAAACAGUACCGUGAGGGAAAGGUGAAAAGAACCUAACUUAAAGCAAUAGCUUUAGGAACGGAGUGAAAUAGAACAUGAAACCAUAAGUUUACAAGCAGUAGGAAAACGACUUAACGUUUGACUGCGUGCCUGUUGAAGAAUGAGCCGGCGACUUAUAGGUAGUAGCAGGUUAAAGUUUUUAAUGACUGGAGCCCGAGCGAAAGCGAGUUUUAAAAGAGCGUUUUGUUACUAUUUAUAGACCCGAACCCAGGUGAUCUAACCAUGGCCAGGGUGAAGCUUAGGUGAAACUAAGUGGAGGCCCGAACUGAUCGAUGUUGAAAAAUCGCCGGAUGAGUUGUGGUUAGGGGUGAAAUGCCAAUCGAACUUGGAGCUAGCUGGUUCUCCCCGAAAUGCGUUGAGGCGCAGCG
RNAcentral lists this ribosomal RNA (867 nucleotides) under uncultured alveolate. RNAcentral's name for it is "partial Bacterial large subunit ribosomal RNA". It matches the Rfam family "Bacterial large subunit ribosomal RNA", at positions 15 to 881 of the family's 2925-position model. The record is from RNAcentral.